CCAAUAGCGUAUAUUAAAGUUGUUGCAGUUAAAAAGCUCGUAGUUGAAUUUCGGGGCCAGUAAGUUGGUCGUGCCACUGGUAUGUACUGGCUUUACUGGUCUCUCCUUCUUGAAGAACCGUGAUGCCAUUAAUUUGGUGUUGCGGGGAAACAGGACUGUUACUUUGAAAAAAUUAGAGUGCUUAAAGCAGGCUUACGCUUGAAUACAUUAGCAUGGAAUAACGUAAUAGGACGCUCGAUUCUAUUUUGUUGGUUUCUAGGAUCGACGUAAUGAUUAAUAGGGAUAGUUGGGGGCAUUAGUAUUCAAUUGUCAGAGGUGAAAUUCUUGGAUUUAUUGAAGACUAACUACUGCGAAAGCAUUUGCCAAGGAUGUUUUCAUUAAUCAAGAACGAAAGUUAGGGGAUCGAAGACGAUCAGAUACCGUCGUAGUCUUAACCAUAAACUAUGCCGACUAGGGAUCGGAUGAAGUUAAUUUUUUAAUGACUCAUUCGGCGCCUUACG
This 500-nucleotide ribosomal RNA is filed under the name uncultured Glomeromycotina. RNAcentral describes it as "partial small subunit ribosomal RNA". It matches the Rfam family "Eukaryotic small subunit ribosomal RNA", at positions 591 to 1092 of the family's 1831-position model. The record is from RNAcentral. Lineage: Eukaryota; Fungi; Glomeromycota.